RNAcentral lists this ribosomal RNA (404 nucleotides) under uncultured bacterium. RNAcentral describes it as "bacterial SSU rRNA". It matches the Rfam family "Bacterial small subunit ribosomal RNA", at positions 355 to 776 of the family's 1533-position model. The record is from RNAcentral.
UGGGGAAUAUUGGACAAUGGGCGAAAGCCUGAUCCAGCAAUACCGCGUGAGUGAUGAAGGCCUUAGGGUUGUAAAGCUCUUUCAGUAAUGAAGAUAAUGACAUUAAUUACAGAAGAAGCCCCGGCUAACUUCGUGCCAGCAGCCGCGGUAAUACGAAGGGGGCUAGCGUUGUUCGGAAUUAUUGGGCGUAAAGAGCGUGUAGGCGGUUUAGCAAGUUGAUAGUGAAAUCCCAAAGCUUAACUUUGGAAUUGCUCUCAAAACUACUAAGCUAGAGUUCGGUAGAGGGUGAUGGAAUUCCUAGUGUAGAGGUGAAAUUCUUAGAUAUUAGGAGGAACGCCGAAAGCGAAAGCAGUCACCUGGGCCGCUACUGACGCUGAGACGCGAAAGCGUGGGGAGCAAACAGG